UAGGGUGGUUAUAGCGACGGGGCUCACCUUUAUCCAUUCCGAACAGAGCAGUUAAGCCCGUCAGCGCAGAUGGUACUGCCAUAUGGUGGGAGAGUAUGUCGCCGCCUUCU
RNAcentral lists this ribosomal RNA (110 nucleotides) under Sinomicrobium sp. Lineage: Bacteria; Pseudomonadati; Bacteroidota; Flavobacteriia; Flavobacteriales; Flavobacteriaceae. The record is from RNAcentral.